This 4947-nucleotide long non-coding RNA is filed under the name Capsella rubella. RNAcentral's name for it is "long non-coding RNA (CRUB_LNC004048)". The record is from RNAcentral. Lineage: Eukaryota; Viridiplantae; Streptophyta; Magnoliopsida; Brassicales; Brassicaceae.
UUUUUUCUUAUGAUCCUUUAAAUUAAAUGUAUUGCUAUUUUUCCUAUGAUCACAUGUUUAUUUUUAGCAAGGUCGUAACUAUUGCAUUUAUUUUUACGAUAAAGUAGCCAUUACAAAGAAAGAGUAACACUUCAUAAUAAUUAAAGGAGACAAUCUCUGGUUUUAUUUAUGAAUAUAUAUAAGAGAUCGUGAUUUUGUAGAAUAUAGACUAAUAGGUUUGAGCAAUGAGCAUGAAUCACCUCACAGCUCAAUUCUUUUUUCCUUUGCUUCCCGUGCGUCCCUUCGCAGUGGAUCCCGAACCUGCGUUACCGUUUCCAGUUGCAGCAGCACCUUUGCGAUUUGCGACAGCUGCAGCGCCGCCUUGACCGGAAGAACCACUGGUAGAAGAAGCAUUGGCAUUGCGACCCUUAGCAGCGACAUCUCCGCUGGUAGCCGUGUAGCCAGUUCCAUAUGCAUCAGCGCGUGGACCUUUCGGACUCCUACUAGCACUAGCAUAGCUAAAGCCAUCACUAUAGCUUGUAGUGGUGGCAUUAACAGAAAGCUCAGCUCCAAUGCCUUUGGUAGCAGCUUUUGAGUUAGAGGUGCCUAGUUUGGUCUCUUUGGAGACUUCUUCGACCUGCCUUGCGGUGACAAUGGCACACAAAACACCAAUAACGAGAAACACAGUAAACUUUGUGGCAUUCAUCUUUUGGUUUUGUUUAUUUAUCUUUUUUUCUUCUAUUGAAUUGUGUGUUUGUGGUGAUUUGUGUUGUGUUCGUCUUCCCAAAUCGUUAUUGCUUCUAUUUAUACACACGCACACACUCGAUACCGCAUGCAUUUACUAGGAUACGUGAGCAUUUCAUACAAGUAAUAUACAUUUGCUUAAAUGCAUGCGUUAGUAAAAAUUACAACUAAUAGUCAUACAAUAUUAACACCUCUUACGAGGAUCAGUUUGCAAUUUUUAUCUAACUAACUCGAGUUGCGAUAUAUAAUCAAUGCUAUCCUAUUUAUUUCUUAUCUAUAGAAUAAUACAUUUUUGUAAAAAUAUUGUUAAAACAAAAAUAGUAUCUAAUGUACAAUACAUUUUUGCAAAAUAUUGUAAGAAAAAACUGAUUUGGCAUUUGAUUUGAUUUUUUUUUUUUUUUUUUUUUUUGUUGUUGCUAGAAGUCAAGAGUGGAGAAGCCCACCGGACGAAAUGGUACCUUCAUAAUAAAUUUAAGUUUAAUUAAUCAAAAUAUCUUUGUGAUAAAUUACACGUAACAUAGAAAAUAGUUCUCAAUUAGUAUGGGGAAGAGUGAUACAACACCAUUUUAUAUUUCUCUUAAAGUUGAAAUUUUUUCAUAUUUGUGAAUUUAAAACAUUGAACGUAAAAGUGAGCAGUUAGACUUUUAAAACAGUAAGAAACAAAUAAAUUGCAACUAUGAAUGGCGAAAUUGUGGCUUUUAAAAUUAAUCGAAAUUAGGUAAUAAACUAGUAUCAAAAUACUCUGGACAUGUAAGUGUAUUUUAUUUAUUAGGGUAAUGCUUUUCAAUGCAUUAUAUGAUUUUUUUGACGCAUAACUGAUAGUCUUACCACGAUGUCGAAUUAUUAAGUACCAAUCUAAGCACCUUCUUCUUGUGAACGUAACAUAAACAUGACAGUUUUUUUUUAAACAAUAGGGUUUUAAAAAGCUUGUUAUUUACGUCGUAAAUAUCAAAUGUUUAAUAAGCUAUAUAUAUCCAAAGUAAUGUCAAUGUCUUAUAUAAGAUAUUUUCUUUGCAAAAACCGGGAUAUCUUAACCCUUUAAGAUAUUCCCAAUAAUGUUACCCUUAUAUAACCAAGCAAUGUUAUAUUUUUGUUUCCUGUUAUCAUCUUUCCACACUUUUACCCCAAUAUCUAUUGGUUAUUAAGUGUAUUAGUGUAUAUACUUGUAGACGUGUAAUAUAUAUACUUGGAUCUUUUAAUCUUAUGUGUUGCAUAUAUCAUGAAAAAAAAAAAACAUUGUUUGAGAUAACGUUAUUUUUGGUCUAAAACAAUGGAUCGAUCUCAGGUUAACACAGUACUCAUCGACGCUUUAUAUUCAGUGAUACGUUUUUUUACGUAUUAUAUAAUAUGCUUUCGACAUUAUGAGUUAUAAAAUAAUUUGUUCACUUAGAAAUUAAAAACUUAAUUUUUAAUAUGGUCUUUUAGGCCUCUAGAUGUGUUGGCACGGCACUAUAUAUGUAUGUGUAUACAUAACUAGUUAUAGAAGAUUAAUAUAAAGUCGUAACUCGUAACCAUGGCCUUUACUUUAUUUAUAAAAUAGGCAUUACAACACAUAAAGAGUAGCACUUCAUGAAAAUUAAAGGUGACAGACAAUCUCAGGUUUUAUUUAUGAAUACAAGAGAGAUUGUGAUUUUGUAGAACAUAUAUAUAUAUAUAUAUAUAUAUAUAUAUAUAUGAAUAGUUUUGAGAAAUGAGCAUGAGCACCUCACAGCUUUCUCCCUUUCUUGCUGCCCGUGCUGCCCUUGGCAGUGGAGGCCGAGCCAGCUGAACCGUUUCCACGUGCAGCAGCACCAUUGCGAUUCACGGCACCUGCUGCAUUGCCUUGAGCUGAAGAACCACUGGUAGAAGAAGCCUUGGCAUUGCGACCCUUAGCAGAGACAGCUCCGCUGGUACCCGUGUUGCCACUUCCGCUGGCUGUGGCGGUUGGACCUUUGGGACUCCUACUAACACUAACAAAGCCAUAGCCCGUAGAGUAGCUUGUAGUUCCGGCAUCGACAGAAAGCUCAGCUCCAAUGCCUUUGGUAGCAGUUUUGGAAAUAGAGGUGCCUAGUUUGGUCUCUUUGGAGACCACCCUUGCGCUGACAUUAACAAACAAAACGCCAAUCACGAGAAGCAUAGCAAACUUUGUGGCAUUCAUCUUUUGGUCUUGUUUAUCUUUCUUAGUUUAAGUUGUGUGUUUGUGGUGAUGAGUUGUGUUGUGUUCUUCUUCCCAAAAUCAUAGCCUCUAUUUAUACACACACAUUCGAUACGUAUGCAUUAAUUAGGAUACGUGUGCAUUUCUUACAAGAAAUAUACAAAUGCUUAAAUGCGUUAGUCAAAUUACAACUAAUAGUCAUACCUAUAUGUCAACAUGAAUCUUCAUACCUCUUGGCAAGAUCAAUUGCAAUUUUAUCUGACUAGCUACGACGCUAUUACUACUGAUAUCAAUAUACUAAAUAUCUCCUAUAAUAAAAGGAAUAAAUUAUAAUUUGACAUAAUGAAAUAAUCUAUAUAGGAAUUACCUAGUUUAUUUAAUCUAAAAUUUGACCUCCUAAAAAACAUGACGAGAUCUAAAAAAUUUUACUUCCUAAAUCUCUAUUCUAAGCCAAAUCUCAUUAUCAAAACCAAAAUAUUCAAGUUUAAAGUGCGGUCUCGCAAAGAAAUUAUCAGUCGCUCUCCAUCUGGUUGGUUACAAAAGGCAUUACUGUUUAUGCAAAAUCUAUCUAAUUAAGAAAGAGAACAAUUCAUGCAUACAAAGUUAAUUAUGAUUGUUCCACCAAAUCUAUCACCGUGAAUUCUAAGCUUCUACUUUGUAUAAAAGUUCUUUCCUCUUUUAUUUUCAAACCAAAAAGCCAUGCAUGUUUUUGGUUUGUGGACACUUUUGGUCUUUUAAUCAACAAACGUUAUGUUCAAUCUUCGUUUUGUGGUCACUUAGAGGCUUUUAUACUUUCUUAGCCUUCUUCUUUUAUUUAUUUUUGUUCCAUAUACUUGAACUUAAAGAAAACUAACACAUUGAUUUUGUUUUUAGCUUUAGACUUAAUUAGAGCACUUCCUUUUUCAUAUCAAUCCAGAAUCCUUAGUAACAUAAAAUAUAAUUAUCCAACCUUUCUUUUCCAACUUAGAUGCUAGCCUUUGUGAUUCUAAUAACUUGCCUCAAUGAGAUCUAACCUUUUUCGUUUCCGAUACUCUUGAGAUUUUCCACAUGUUAGCAAUAUAAAAAAAAGUCUCCACUCAAACGAAUGAUCAAGAGUCGAAAGAAUGCUCAAAAUAUAGGUUAAGAGAAACAUUUUAAAAAUUGGAAAAUGGCCAUUAAGGAUAACAAAAGUUGGCAAAUUCGCAAAGAAAACCCCGAAUGUGUCUUCUUUUUUUAUUUUUUUUGGUCACCGUGUCUUUAGCUAAGCAUAAUACAGUAUACACAUUUGAUCCAAACGGAAGAAUCAGAUUCAUUAAAAGUCCAAAUUCAUAAAGAUACUUUGAAGUUCAUGUGAGUUUCAAAAAAGUAGAAUUUUUCGAAAGAUGCAAAGGUUGAAAACAUGGGUUUUCCAUUUGUCUCAAAGAUGCUUAUAAAAUAUCAGUUAAAUGAAAUAGUGUAUAUUAAUAUUUCUUUAUUCAGUUUGUGUUGUAAUCAAGUUGUUUAUCCUAUUAUCUGCAUGGAAGUUAAGUAUCUAAUUUGGCAUUCUUGAAUCGAAAUAUUAAAUACGAGUUUAAAUAUUUUGAUCUUAAUCGUAACUUUGAACUUUCUGCAAGGUAAUUAGAUGUAAAUGAAAAUGAAAAAUGCAACCUAACAUGAAAUUAUACUUAAACGUAGCAUAUGACUCAAAUAUAUGCAAAAUAGAAAUUAAGAACACAAAAGUUAAAAGACUAUAAUCCAUUCCCCCUGACUUGAAUUACAUUGUCUUAGUGUAAUUAACAAAGGUUAAAGAAAAGCAUGUUAAGAUAGCUAGUACCAUAUUUGCUUAUUGAUUCAAAUUUCAGAAUAAGAGUCAUAUAAAGUAGUAACUAUGGCAUUUAUUUUAUUUAUUAAAUAGGCAUUACAGCACAUAAAUAGUAGCAUUUCAUGGUAUUUAAAGGUGACAGACAAUCUCAGGUUUUAUUUAUGAAUACAAAGAGAGAUUCUGAUUUUGUAGAACAUAUAUAUAUUAAUAGGUUUGAGCAAUGAGCAUGAUCACCUCACAGCUCAAUACUUUCUUCCUUUGCUGCCCGUGCGGCCAUUCGCAGUGGAUGCCGAACUUGCGGAACCGUCUC